RNAcentral lists this ribosomal RNA (253 nucleotides) under uncultured bacterium. Its description in RNAcentral is "partial 16S ribosomal RNA". It matches the Rfam family "Bacterial small subunit ribosomal RNA", at positions 524 to 776 of the family's 1533-position model. The record is from RNAcentral.
UACGAAGGGGGCUAGCGUUGUUCGGAAUUACUGGGCGUAAAGCGAACGUAGGCGGUUUUCCAUGUCAGAGGUGAAAGCCUGGGGCUCAACUCCAGAAUUGCCUUUGAAACGGGAACGCUUGAGUCCGAGAGAGGGUGGUGGAAUUCCUAGUGUAGAGGUGAAAUUCGUAGAUAUUAGGAAGAACACCAGUGGCGAAGGCGGCCCCCUGGCCCGGUACUGACGCUCAGGUUCGAAAGCGUGGGGAGCAAACAGG